RNAcentral lists this ribosomal RNA (196 nucleotides) under Flavobacteriales bacterium. Its description in RNAcentral is "partial 23S ribosomal RNA". It matches the Rfam family "Bacterial large subunit ribosomal RNA", at positions 2712 to 2925 of the family's 2925-position model. The record is from RNAcentral. Lineage: Bacteria; Pseudomonadati; Bacteroidota; Flavobacteriia; Flavobacteriales.
GUGUAUCUGUUGUGGCGCCAGCUGCACUGCAGAGUAGCUACGUACGGAUGAGAUAAGCACUGAAAGCAUCUAAGUGCGAAACUCACCGCGAGAUGAGGUUUCAUUGAGGGUCGUUGUAGACGACAACGUUGAUAGGCCGCAGGUGUAAAGGCAGUGAUGCCAAAGCCGAGCGGUACUAAUUACCCGAAAGCUUAUC